AGAGUUUGAUCAUGGCUCAGAUUGAACGCUGGCGGCAGGCUUAACACAUGCAAGUCGAACGGUAAAGUAGCUUGCUACUUACGAGUGGCGGACGGGUGAGUAACGUAUGGGAAUUUACCGAAUGGAGGGGGACAACAGUUGGAAACGGCUGCUAAUACCGCAUAACGUCGAGAGACCAAAGGGUUUCGACUUGCCAUUUGAUGAGCCCAUAUGAGAUUAGCUAGUUGGUGUGGUAAUGGCUCACCAAGGCGACGAUCUCUAGCUGGUUUGAGAGGAUGACCAGCCACACUGGGACUGAGACACGGCCCAGACUCCUACGGGAGGCAGCAGUGGGGAAUAUUGCACAAUGGGGGGAACCCUGAUGCAGCCAUGCCGCGUGUAUGAAGAAGGCCUUAGGGUUGUAAAGUACUUUCGUGGAGGAGGAAGGGUUUACGUAAUCGUGGACAUUGACGUUACUCCAAGAAGAAGCACCGGCUAAUUCCGUGCCAGCAGCCGCGGUAAUACGGGAGGUGCGAGCGUUAAUCGGAAUGACUGGGCGUAAAGGGCAUGUAGGCGGAUGAUUAAGUUAGUGGUGAAAUC
This 579-nucleotide ribosomal RNA is filed under the name uncultured Providencia sp. RNAcentral describes it as "bacterial SSU rRNA". It matches the Rfam family "Bacterial small subunit ribosomal RNA", at positions 8 to 601 of the family's 1533-position model. The record is from RNAcentral. Lineage: Bacteria; Pseudomonadati; Pseudomonadota; Gammaproteobacteria; Enterobacterales; Morganellaceae.